RNAcentral lists this ribosomal RNA (408 nucleotides) under uncultured bacterium. Its description in RNAcentral is "partial 16S ribosomal RNA". It matches the Rfam family "Bacterial small subunit ribosomal RNA", at positions 28 to 526 of the family's 1533-position model. The record is from RNAcentral.
GACGAACGCUGGCGGCGUGCUUAACACAUGCAAGUCGAACGAAGUGGCGAACGGGUGAGUAACGCGUAAUCAACCUGCCCUUCAGAGGGGGACCACAGUUGGAAACGACUGCUAAUACCGCAUAAUGAAGGAGGGGAUUGCGUCUGAUGAGCUGGUUGGAGGGGUCACGUCCCACCAAGGCGAUGAUCAGUAGGCGGUCGGAGAGGAUGAACGGCCACAAUGGUACUGAGACACGGCCCAGACUCCUACGGGGGGCAGCAGUGGGGAAUCUUCCGCAAUGGACGAAAGUCUGACGGAGCAACAGCGCGUGAGUGAUGACGGCCUUCGGGUUGGAAAGCUAUGUUAAUCGGGACGCGGUACCGGAAUAGAAAGCCACGGCUAACUACGUGCCAGCAGCCGCGGUAAUAC